UGUGGAAUUUUGGACAAUGGGGGCAACCCUGAUCCAGCAAUGCCGCGUGUGUGAAGAAGGCCUUCGGGUUGUAAAGCACUUUUGUCCGGAAAGAAAUCGCGCUGGUUAAUACCUGGCGUGGAUGACGGUACCGGAAGAAUAAGCACCGGCUAACUACGUGCCAGCAGCCGCGGUAAUACGUAGGGUGCGAGCGUUAAUCGGAAUUACUGGGCGUAAAGCGUGCGCAGGCGGUUUUGUAAGACAGGCGUGAAAUCCCCGGGCUUAACUUGGGAAUUGCGCUUGUGACUGCAAGGCUAGAGUGCGUCAGAGGGGGGUAGAAUUCCACGUGUAGCAGUGAAAUGCGUAGAGAUGUGGAGGAAUACCGAUGGCGAAGGCAGCCCCCUGGGACGUGACUGACGCUCAUGCACGAAAGCGUGGGGAGCAAACAGGAUUAGAUACCCUGGUAGUCCACGCCCUAAACGAUGUCAACUAGUUGUUGGGGAUUCAUUUUCUCAGUAACGUAGCUAACGCGUGAAGUUGACCGCCUGGGGAGUACGGUCGCAAGAUUA
RNAcentral lists this ribosomal RNA (548 nucleotides) under uncultured bacterium. Its description in RNAcentral is "bacterial SSU rRNA". It matches the Rfam family "Bacterial small subunit ribosomal RNA", at positions 355 to 896 of the family's 1533-position model. The record is from RNAcentral.